This 449-nucleotide ribosomal RNA is filed under the name uncultured bacterium. RNAcentral describes it as "partial 16S ribosomal RNA". It matches the Rfam family "Bacterial small subunit ribosomal RNA", at positions 29 to 523 of the family's 1533-position model. The record is from RNAcentral.
AACGAACGCUGGCGGCAUGCUUAACACAUGCAAGUCGAACGAGACCUUCGGGUCUAGUGGCGCACGGGUGCGUAACGCGUGGGAAUCUGCCCUUUGCUACGGAAUAACUCAGAGAAAUUUGUGCUAAUACCGUAUGAGGUCGCAAGACCAAAGAUUUAUCGGCAAAGGAUGAGCCCGCGUAGGAUUAGCUUGUUGGUGAGGUAAAAGCUCACCAAGGCGACGAUCCUUAGCUGGUCUGAGAGGAUGAGCAGCCACACUGGGACGGAGACACGGCCCAGACUCCUGCGGGAGGCAGCAGUGGGGAAUAUUGGACAAUGGGCGAAAGCCUGAUCCAGCAAUGCCGCGUGAGUGAUGAAGGCCUUAGGGUUGUAAAGCUCUUUUACCAGGGAUGAUAAUGACAGUACCUGGAGAAUAAGCUCCGGCUAACUCCGUGCCAGCCGCCGCCGUAA